CCAGACUCCUACGGGAGGCAGCAGUGAGGAAUAUUGGUCAAUGGGCGGGAGCCUGAACCAGCCAAGUCGCGUGAAGGAAGAAGGUACUUAGUAUUGUAAACUUCUUUUGUCGGGGAACAAAGGCGGAGACGCGUCUCCGGAUGAGUGUACCCGAAGAAAAAGCAUCGGCUAACUCCGUGCCAGCAGCCGCGGUAAUACGGAGGAUCCGAGCGUUAUCCGGAUUCAUUGGGUUUAAAGGGUGCGUAGGUUGUUUUAUAAGUUAGCGGUGAAAUACCGAUGCUCAACAUCGGGGCUGCCGCUAAUACUGUAGGACUAGAGAUCGGAUGCAGCAGGCGGAAUGUGUAGUGUAGCGGUGAAAUGCAUAGAUAUUACACAGAACACCGAUUGCGAAGGCAGCUUGCUAGGCCGGAUCUGACACUGAUGCACGAAAGCGUGGGGAUCGAACAGGAUUAGAUACCCGGGUACC
Molecule: ribosomal RNA, 466 nt
Filed under: uncultured bacterium
Lineage: Bacteria
Description: bacterial SSU rRNA
Rfam family: Bacterial small subunit ribosomal RNA
Source: RNAcentral